Molecule: ribozyme, 330 nt
Organism: Camelus dromedarius (Arabian camel)
Lineage: Eukaryota; Metazoa; Chordata; Mammalia; Artiodactyla; Camelidae
Rfam family: Nuclear RNase P
About the family: Ribonuclease P (RNase P) is a ubiquitous endoribonuclease, found in archaea, bacteria and eukarya as well as chloroplasts and mitochondria. Its best characterised activity is the generation of mature 5'-ends of tRNAs by cleaving the 5'-leader elements of precursor-tRNAs. Cellular RNase Ps are ribonucleoproteins.
Source: Ensembl
GGUGGAAGGAAACAUCCGUGGGGCCACGAGCUGGGUGCAUUUAGUAACUCUACCCCACGUCCCUUGUGAAAGUCUGAGACUAGGGCCAAAAGCGGCCCCAACAGGGCCCUCCCUGAGCUUAUGUAAGGUAAGUUCCCAGAGCAGGAACCUCUGGGGCUAGGGCAGAGGGGACAGGAGAUGCCGUGUACCCGCCCUUGGGGAGGGUCCUAGCAGAUGACCGCUUAACCUGUGCUUGGAACAGACUCGUGGCCUACGAAGUGAGUUCAAUGGCAGAGUUGAGGUACCCUACAUGGGGGCAUUAUAACGCAAUUCAGACUACUUUCCCCCACC